Molecule: non-coding RNA, 787 nt
Organism: Coffea arabica (coffee)
Lineage: Eukaryota; Viridiplantae; Streptophyta; Magnoliopsida; Gentianales; Rubiaceae
Source: RefSeq, a predicted model, not a curated record
CCCACUUCCCUGCAUCUUUCUCCUCUACCUCCUCCCAAACUCACUCCUCUGCCUCCAGCUAUACUCCUAUUGCCGACUCCUCAUCUCCCCUCUUACUCAUCUUCCUCCUCUGCAUUUUCCCACCAUUGAACAACUCUCAUUUAUGCAUGUUAUGAGUGAAAUUGUAAGGCUUCUUUUCGUGGUUGACAUUGAAAUUGGCCCAAAUGCAGUAAAUCCAAUCACUGCAGUCGAAGAUGGCCACCGGAGAUAGUCUCCUCAGCAUUACGCAUUGUGGGCAUCCCUUGUACAUGGAUUCUUCAUUAUUGGCCUCACCGAUUUGAGAGUACUUUCUUAUCAUAUAUGUACCGGAUUUUCUGGGUAGUCGCACCUUUUGAUCUGGAAAUUGAAAGGACACUAUAUAGAUAAAGAAGGCAUACACCGCAACAAGAAGAAGAAGAUGUUGGACAACAAAUAGAGGGAAUCACGAUAGAGCUACCUUUUGAAGAAGAAAUGACAGAAAACGAAGCAAAUAGGCGAGCUCUUAGGAAUUUUGCUCUACCGGAAACCCAAGAAUCUCAAACAAGUAUAGCAUGGCCGACUGUAAACACUAAAAAUUUUGAAAUUAAACCAUCAUUAAUCCAAAUGGUGCAACAAUCGCAAUUUGGAGAUAAUGCCGUAGAGGAUCCUAACGUAUAUUUAGCCACAUUUUUGGAGAUUUGCGACACUAUUAAAAUGAAUGAAGUUAGUGAGGAUGUAAUAAGGCUAAGAUUGUUUCCAUUUUCAUUAAGGGAUAAGACUAAAAUUUGGC